Molecule: ribosomal RNA, 404 nt
Filed under: Bacteroides fragilis
Lineage: Bacteria; Pseudomonadati; Bacteroidota; Bacteroidia; Bacteroidales; Bacteroidaceae
Description: bacterial SSU rRNA
Rfam family: Bacterial small subunit ribosomal RNA
Source: RNAcentral
CUUUUACAAUGAAGAGUUUGAUCCUGGCUCAGGAUGAACGCUAGCUACAGGCUUAACACAUGCAAGUCGAGGGGCAUCAGGAAGAAAGCUUGCUUUCUUUGCCGGCGACCGGCGCACGGGUGAGUAACACGUAUCCAACCUGCCCUUUACUCGGGGAUAGCCUUUCGAAAGAAAGAUUAAUACCCGAUGGCAUAAUGAUUCCGCAUGGUUUCAUUAUUAAAGGAUUCCGGUAAAGGAUGGGGAUGCGUUCCAUUAGGUUGUUGGUGAGGUAACGGCCCACCAAGCCUUCGAUGGAUAGGGGUUCUGAGAGGAAGGUCCCCCACAUUGGAACUGAGACACGGUCCAAACUCCUACGGGAGGCAGCAGUGAGGAAUAUUGGUCAAUGGGCGCUAGCCUGAACCAGC